RNAcentral lists this small RNA (611 nucleotides) under Theobroma cacao (cacao). RNAcentral describes it as "sRNA Tc05v2_g012220". Lineage: Eukaryota; Viridiplantae; Streptophyta; Magnoliopsida; Malvales; Malvaceae. The record is from RNAcentral.
AAUAAUGUGUUUGUUGAAGUAAUCUGUUUUGGGUGGUUGUUAAAGUUCAAGAUUGGGCUUUUCCAGUUAUUGGUGACGCCUGAUAAAGAAAGGAACAUAGAGCAUGUUCGGAAGGCCAUCGAGGAGGCUGUUCAAAAGGGUGCCCAGCUUGUUCCUUGCCUAUAACGACAUGGAUGCUUCAUGCAUCAAUCUUGCUACUCAGACAAAGCGAGCCAUGAAUUGAUGAUCACGUUUUUCACCUUUCAGUUUGAUGAGCCAAAACUGUGGUGGAAUAUAAACAACAUUGGUGCUUUAUGAAAUGGUGGUUUUGGUUUACACAAAUUACACGAAAUAUGGAACAGCACAUAUUCGAAUGACAGCUUCCCAGUUUAUGCUGAAGAUAUUGACGCAGGUGGUGAUGCGUCUCCUUCAACAGCUAUGCUGUCUGAAGUUUCUAGUCACCCGACGAUCACAAUAGUUGAUGGCUAUAUACCUGAACGCUGUGGGGAUUAGUUGUACAAUACUUGUUGUGUCUUUGGUACUGAUGGAAAGCUGAAAGCCAAGCACCGCAAGAUUCACCUUUUUGAUAUUGAUAUUCCUGGGGAGAUUACCUUUAUGGAAUCCAAGACCCG